GUUUUAGGGCUACUCACUGAACACCUUCCAACUUCUAUGGCUGCUUGAAUACAAAUCUCUUCUCUGAGAAGACUCUGGAUAAACAUAUUCGACGACAGACCUUGGCAAGAACUGCAAAGAUGCUCUUGACAAUGGCAUGAAUAAAUAUUAGGUGUUAUCUAGAAUUCACCACAUUUGAGGUCGUGCGCAAAGCCAGAUCAAAGAGAAUGCAGAACAAUAGAAGCAAGAAGGAUCCCAAAUAUAGUGUUGCAACUCUCCUCACCUGCAGGAAGGGGUUGCCCAAGAAGCAUGACACCAGCAUCUGCUUCUGGUGAGAGCUUCAAGCUGUUCCCACUCAUGGUGGAAGAGGAAGAGGAACCAGUUGUGCAGAAAUAACAGCUAUACAUUUCCGAAGACAGAGAAGAGGAAAAAGGAGGUAGAGUCUGGUAUGAGGGCACCAGGGAACAUUUCCUUACUUCACAAUUUGGUGAACUGAGUAGAACUGCCUGACAUCACACAGAGGGUAAACUUCUGCCUAGGGCCAUGGAAAAAGGCAAGAAGGUCCCGUGACCAAGAAAUGACCAGCUCCACAGAGGAAAUGCAGGGCCACUCUCCGACUGGACCCCACUGUGCACAAGGUGAGAAUUCAGCCUGUUUAUCAGGGUUUCCCUUAUUAAAGUAUAUGUCAAAAAGGCCUGGUAGAAAUGUAACUCUGUGAUGUUAAUUUUGGAAAGUCUCAUCUAGAACUUUCUGGGAAGUAUUUGAAAGCACAGUUGUGGAAUCAUUUGAAGACUCAAACAUAUAAAUUAAACACUCUUCUUGGAUACAGCAGUUAGAAUAUGGAACAGAUAGGGUCUACAUUGGAGAAAUGAGAGAUGUGGCAAGUGCUUAGCCUCUCUGAGACUCAGUCUCAAUGUCUCCAUCAGGGACAGCUAGCUAGCUCACGGAAUUAUUGUGAGGGUUCACUGUUAUAAUUUAUUCCAAGGUCCACUGCAGCACCGAGGACAUAGGUGGCACUCAAGAAGCAGUGGCCAGUAGUAUUCUCUGCUAAAAUAUUUGCCACCUCAGCCACUUUGAUUCUGCUCCAGAGGGCUUUUUCGCUCAUCCCAUUGGCGACACAAGGCAGGUUAACUAAAGAUACUCUCACCUAAUCUAAAAAUUCAAGACAUCAGUCCACAAAAUACCAGAAUCACCAUGGAGGCAGCUGUUUAGCACUUUGGAUAGUCUAUUUCUCCCCCUAAAAACAGCCUACUUAAAACAGGGGAGAGUUAAGGUUCCAGGAUCUUACUCCUGAGAUUUUUUAUUUAAAGAACACCCCAUCUUUACUCGCAGCUGAGAGGCUAAGAUUAAAAAUUAGCCACUGUAUAGUAGCUGAGCAGUGACAAUUUUUCAUAAAGGUUUUUAGUACACAUUUGGGAUUAUAAUUUCAAUAUUAUGCAAAUGCAUUUUAUGGAUCUAUAAUACAGAAUGUGUACUGGCGUUAAUGUGCAUUAGCAGGCGAGAAGAAAAGGCUCCAAAUGAGCCAUUUUGGUGUCUGCUUUCAACAUGUAUUAUGAAUAAUAAGUAAAAUGUUCUGGUUUAGAACAAAUAAUAUAAAAUCUGAAUUCUUCUUGAUGUACAUCAGUGACAAAGCCCUACGCAACUCCCAUGGAAUUAUUCCAUUGGACACAAUUUAAAACUGGCUCUUAAACAAUAUAUUCCUGUUUCUGGCUUCUCUUCUUGAAUGAGAUGUGAAAGUAAAAUAAAUAUAUUUAAUAUGAAUACGGGAUAGUUCCCCCCAUUGCUCAAAAUCAGGCAUGAACUAGAUGAAGGCAUUGGGAAGGCUGAAACACCAUAGUGGUCAAGAGAGUGGCCCAGGAUACUUGUAAUUUGAGAGGCUCUGAGUAUUGAAAAGUGAAGAAGCAUCUAAAUAGGGUUAUAUAACUUGCAUAUUUUCAAUGAAUAAAAUUAACAAAUAUAAUGCCUUUAACACAAAAUAUUUAAUACAAGAUGACUGUAUUAUUCUGAAGAUAUUUAAAUGAUGUGUAAGUAAUAUUUCUUAAUGUAAUGUGCUGCAAGCUUUGUUCCAAAAUGGGAACUUGAGUUGAAAUUUGUCUGAUGUCUAUUUUCUUUCAGCCUUGUCAGAGUGUUUCUGUGACUGCAGAUUAGAAUAAAAUUCUCACAAACUAAUUUGAGGCUUUUCGUAAAGGCAGAGGACUGAGCCAAACAACUAGCUUCUCAUGAUAGAGCCCCAAAAUGUUUCCUUUUUAAUUAAUAUUUCCAUGUUGCAAUUUUGCAUGUACAGAAGGUGGUAGCUGGUUAUUUUAGUAGUAAUUCAAACUUUCUAUUUGCAUUGAUUUAGUUAAGACUUUCAGAUCUAUUGACCCUGUUUCUUGAAUGCAUGUUUCACACCUGCCCCAUUCUUGGGCAGCCUGCAGGAAUACAAGAUCACACUGUCCAAUGAGUAUGGACUAAGCAUUCAGCUGAGUAACAAUAAUACAAUCAUCUUGUCUCUCAAACAGGUGCCCUUAACUUAAUGUUUUUUAAAAUGCCACCACGUCCAUGACAUCUUCAAAAUGAUACUAAAAAUAUCCAUGCGAUGAGUUCUGUGUGUGUUAAGUGUUUUAUAUGCAUUAUCUCAAUUGACUUCCAAAGCAACCUCACAAGGUCAGUUUUACAAUCCCCAUGAAAUGGUUGAAGAAUUUGGAGUCUAAAAAGACUAAGUAAUUUGUACAAAAUCACAAUUAUACAGGUCUAAUUUUGCAACCCAAACUCUUGACCAGUAUAUAACCCUGAAUCCAGUAUUAAUGUAGUAGAUAAUUGUCUUGGCUUAAUUUAUCAUAUAAGUUAUAGAAAUGGUGUUUUGUCCUUACUCUGACAUGGGGACUAUAAUUGACACUAAAAUCUGAAUCAAUUUCAACCAGUCAUUGCUUCACUUCACUACUUGUCUACAUUGCUGCAGUUGGUUGCUGCUUUCCAUUUCCCCCGAUGCUUUUCCAUUCGAGAUGGAGGUCUGUGGAAGGAAAGAUGGAUACAGCAAGAGGGUCUAUCCAAGAACCCAAUAAAUAUGUACUGCAUAAAUAAAUCAGAUGUUUUAAAUUUGGCAAUUUAAAUUCAGCAAAAAGUCUUUGACAACCUGUGGAGUGUAAGCUAUGGUUUCUAUCCUUGCAACCUUAAAAUUUCAAAAAGCCCCAAAUUCAAGCUUAUCAGUAGCAAGGAAGCCCUUCCAAAUAUUAACUUACAAUCAAUAUUGGAAAAAACUGAGUAGUAUAUUGUGUCCUAUUUUGAAAACAAGCUAUUUGCCAUGUGUAGAUAAGAUUCCUACACUAAAGAUAUCUUUUUAAUAGUUGAAAUAUGAGAUGCCGAGUAAUAAAACUUGAAGUACAGUGGAGCAGCUCUGAGAGAACAAGUGGCACAUUGCCUUGAAAUAAUACUCUCAACGCCAUUUGCUGAGUCUUCUAUGCUCUUGGCCCUUUGCACAAUCUCACUUAAUCUUCACUGCACCCUGUAAGGUAAAUAUUAUUAUCUUCAUUUUACAGAUGAGGAAAUUGAAGCUUACAUAAAUUGUCUGAGGUCACACAGUUAAUAAGUGGUUGAAUGUGGAUUUAAUUCGAGGUCUGCUUUAUUUCAAAGUGAUUCAGUGAGUGAGACAGAGAGAAACAAAGAGAAGACAGUGGUUUUUAAAGAAAGAAUGAAUCUCAAUUUUCUGAAACCCUAUAGCAAUUCCUGCCUUUCUUGUGGCUCUUACCAUAUUCUGCUGUUAUUUCUGGAUUUCUUAUAUAACCUUUACUGAAUUAUAAGCUAUUCUAUUUGAGAGAAGAGACCACACACAAACCAUUUCUGUAUUCCCCCAGGACCUUGUUCAGUGCCUGGAACAAAGUAGGUAUUCAAGAUACCUUUCACUUAUUCCUCAUAUAUUUGCUGGGUGUGGUUAAGCCCAGUAAAGAAGACAAGUCAUGCCUUCCAGGAGCUUCUAGCUCAGGGGAGAAAGUGAUUGAAGACCCAGUGUUCUAAACUGGGUGUGGCACCACAGUGAUGGGAAGUAGGGGAAGCCAAGGGGAAGCUGACUGACUGGUGGGCUCAACCAAGGUUUCCCGAGGAAGAGGUCAUCCAAAACCAUUCUUGAAGCUUCAGUAAGAGCCAAGCAAAGAGGGUGGGGAAAGCCUCACAAAGCGAGAAGGAUCAGGAAUGCACAAAGGCCCUGAAAUUAGAGAUAAGCACAAAGCCUGUUUCCAAGGAUUACAAAUCACCUGGAGAUUACUGGAGGACAAGAGAAAGGGGAGAAACAGCAAGACAGAAGGUGGCAAGGUAUCCGCUGUGAAGUCUAGAAGGACUGUGUACACCAUGGUAAAGUAUUUCUCUAUCCUGAUCUUUCUGGGGAGGGUUUAUGCAGAGGAGAGGCAAGACAAGGCAUAUAUUUGAGAAAGAGGAUCAUUAGCUGAAUUGUGGAGAACAGACUCGAAGAGGAUGCUACUGGUUGCAGGGAACAGGAAAGAAAACCAAGGAAGCAAUCACUAAAGCCAGUGGGAGGGAGGGUCUUGCCAUUAGAGAAGAGAAGGCCAUUUUGUAUACACAGCUGACGCUUGAACAACACAGGUUUGAACUGUGAGAGUCCACUUAUAUUUGGAAUUUUUUCAAUAAAAGUUACAUGGAGUGUGCCUGCCUCUCCUGCCUCCUCUUCCACCCCCGCCACCCUUGAGACAGCAAAACCAACCAUUCCUCUUCCUCCUCUUCCUCAGCCUGCUCAAUGUGAAGAUGACGAGGAUGAAAACCUUUAUGAUGAUCUACUCCUAUUUAUGGAGGAAGACCCAGUGGGCUUUUACUGUAGCUGGAACAUUAGACACCAAAACGCAGCCCUUUGCUAGAAGAUGCGUCUUUGUGUUUGCUGAAUGUGAGAGGGAUGGUGGCACAUUCUAUAUUAACCAGAAAAAUGUUCCUGAUGAUAGGACCAACUUUGAUGUCCCUCGGAUCUAGGAGCCAGGCUUAUGGCUGGAGCAGCAACAAUAUUAGGUGUUGAUUAUGGAGUCACUCAGGGACCACCAGAAGCUCAGACUCUCCCCAGAGGCUACCUUAUGUGUGGGGGCAAUUUAGGCCCUUCUUCCCUCUCUCCCUGUCAUGAUCUUCUUCACUAACCAAUUGAGGAACCUAUAAUUAAUAUCAUUUUUCACUGUUUGGCUUAAUGCUUUUAAGCCCUGUUAAAAUGCAAACAAGAUAUCUGGAAAAGUUGAUAAGGAGAUAUGUGAACAUUCAUUGACAUCUCGGCAUGCAGCAGGUUCUCAACUUAGUCAAAAUUACGGCACUGAGUAGGAUGAACUGGAACAUCAGGGCAGGCAGCACAAAUGAUGGGAAAAUGAAGUGUUGCUGAGAGAACAUCCUGAUGGCCAGGAUCACUAUGUACGAAAUGCAGGGGUAUACAGAGAGGAUUGGGAAUGAUUCUCAAUGGUGACUAACAUUUGUAGAAUUCACCUGUGAGGGCAGGCAGUACUAUCAUUAUCCCCACUUCCCAGAUGAGAAAACUGAGGCCCAGAGAUGUUAAGUAAAGUAACUUGCUCAUCAAGUUUACCCAGCCAGUGUGACAAUUUAUACUACGGAAUUGGGUGGGUCUAAAAGCUAAUUUACCUUAGUUCAGAAUUUAGCCUGAGGCUGUCUAGGAAUAACAGAUCUUGCUUUGCUUAAAGCCAUGAUGUUAGAUUAAUUGAUAUUGUGACCCUUGGCAAAUAUCAAAGUUUCGUGGAAUUCUCUAUAAUAAAGACUCUAGACUUUAGAAAAGUCAAUUCAAAACACUAAAGUUAUUCCUUUAUUCCUACUGUUAUCCUAUUCUGUUCCUUAGCUCACAAAGGAAAAAAUAAUCCCCUAUUGACCUCCAAAUUUAGCAUUCAUUUGAUUUCAUUUAUACAUUUAAAAUAGAGAAGAAUUAAAGCAACCUUAUAAAUUAUAUUUUAAUAAGAAUAUUGAUAUCUGAAAAGCUAGCAACCCAGAGAAAUGUUUUUCUUGCUUGACUUAGAUAAUAUUUUCAUCAACAUAAGAAAAACAAAUUGAGCCCCUAUGAAGUAUAGGGUGUGCCCUGGAUUUUAGAUGGUUGCCUAAUUUUCCUUUUCAUGUCUGUUAAAAGCCAAGUUUAAUUUGGAGCUAUUUCUCAAGAAGGGUGAGCAGCUGUGAUUGAUUUAUUUGAAUACUUUACAACAUUUAAAAAUAGUUUUUCUAAUUCACCAGAGAAUUAUUAAAUCCUUGGGGCUGUAUGCUCUCUUUUGUAGUCUUAGGUUCUCUCUCAUGCUUGGACAAUUCUAGUGUCUUUGCCAACAAUAGCUACUUUUUCUUGCACACCACUAAACUAAUCAUUGCAAAAGGUCAUUGUUGUGACAUCAUUCUCCUGUCCCAAACUGUCAGUGGCUCUUCACUUCCUCCCAAGUAAACUCUGUGUCAGAGCCUCCACCAUCUGGGUGCUGUUUACUAUUCAAUACAUAUUUCCCACAGCUUUCUGGGCAAGCCCACUGUGCCUGGCACUGUCUCUGAUCUCCAUGGUGCUGCACGUCUGGCCACCACCCUUUCCUCCCCUCCCUUAGUUAUUUGGCCUCCAAUGCCUUUACCAUCUCUCCAGCCUCCUCCCACGCACUCCCCACAUCUUUGAAAUCUUUUUCUUUUCUUUUUUAAUUCCAGCUCUUUUCCUCUCUAAAACUCAAGAUUUGACAUUUAUUCUAGAAUCAUAAAAGGCUAGAACUCACGGGGACAGGAGUGGAGCUAUCUGUCAUUUUUAAAUAUAGCUUCUCUCAAUCUUUAUUUAGUGGACUUGCUCUGGAUUAGGGAUGAGAAGACCUGACUCUACUGUUUUCUUGAUAAGUGACCUUGAACCAGACACAUGUGCUCAAGUUCCAUAUCUGUAAAAUGAAGAUACCUGGCCUUCCUACUUCACAAGGUUCUUUUGAAGAUCAAAUGUAAUACUGCAUAAUAAAGUGACUCAUAAAUUCUUUUUUUUUUUUUUUUUGAGAUGAAUUCUCACUCUGUUGCCCAGGCUGUCAUGACCUGGUGCAAUUUCAACUCACUGCAACCUCCGCCUCCAGGGUUCAAGAGAUUCUCCUACCUCAGCCCCACCGAGUAGCUGGGAUUACAGGCAUGCACCACCACUCCCGGCUUUUUUAUUUUAUUUUUAUUUUUUGUAUUUUUUGUAUUUUUAGUAGAGAUGGGGUUUUGCCAUUUUGGUGAGGUUGGUCCUGAACUCCUGACCUCAAGUGACCUGCCCGUCUUGCCUCCCAAAGUGCUGGGAUUACAGGAGUGAGCCUCUGCACCUGGCCUGACCCAUAAAUUCUAAAGUACUAAGUGAUGUCCUCAUAUAUAGCACAGUCCCUCCAGCCCCUGCAAUUCAAAGAUACAUCUCACUGUACUUAGGAGAGUUAGAGUAGAGGCAUGACCUAACUUGUUAGCUGUUUAUCUCCUAUAGAAAGUGGUCAACAGAUCUUUGUUGGUAAAAUGAAUGAAUAUUCAUUUCUUAUCUUUCAAUGAGAAUGUGAUAACUUUGGUUAUUGAUGUAUACUUCCGUGCAAAUUUGCUCAUGCAAUUUCAACCACAUCCCCCAGAACAACUUUCUACCAUGCUAAUUGCUCCGAACAUUUAAAUACCAGCAUAGGAAUGGAAGCUACUGACUGUUAACAUUUCUCACAUUUAGUUGCUGAAUGCCUCUCACAUUUACUUACUGAAUGUGUGCUUUAGACCAUCUUAAAAAUAUAAUAGUAUGUCUGAUAAAGAGGCCCAUCAGUCCUCAAAAUGUCUUCAUCUUUUAGUGUUGAAACAAUAAUGAUGAUUUGCUUCAUUUGUGCUCUACACACCAAUGAGAUGAGCUAACUGCAUAUCUACUAUGAAAUAAUGUCUAUUAUUACAUGGAUAACUACCCAUUAACUCCAUUGGAAACACUGGUAAUUACACAGUAUGUUACGUUAAUGCACCUGUGUUAGCUUCUGAUUGCCAUAUUAUUAAUUCAAGUGACCUCUUGAAUUAAUUCAAGUUUCCCAUCAUCAUUUUCUUAUUCUGGAACUCUCUAACACUUUAGAGACUGUUGGCUAAACAAUAAAAGUAUACAGUGAAAACUAUUUUCAAAAAAAAGAGGAUCUGAUGUGUGAUCCCAUUGAUGUUUGUUGUUGUUUUUCACUUCUUUGCUUGACAUAUAUAAACAACUUUAGAGCUAUAUUCUGUUACCUUCUGUGCAAAAUUAGAACAAUUUUCACUUUGUGAAGAGUUGCAGAAAGAUUUGACCUUUAAAAACUCUGAAACACGUCUGGUUCACAAACAGAAUCACAUCUUAAAAGCCCUAAGUUUGCUCUAAAAGUGUCAAUCAAGUUUUCAGCACACUAACACACGUAAUAAUGAAAGGCUUGUAUUUGCUCCUAAAACCCAAGUUGCCUCCCAGUCACUCUGCAUCUGGUUACACCAAACUUAACUUUUCUACAGUCCAUCUAGUCCUGACCUUCCCCUCUUCUUACGAGCCCCCAUUUAACCAAAGCAACUCCAGCCCAGGAGAUGAAAACCCCAUCAGCAUUUUCAUAGUUAAUGACAGGGCUACAAAACAGAAAAUAACAGCGGGAAUCUGAAGCCAGUGCUUUUAUUGGACUAACUAACGAUAUAAAUAAAAUGGUCCCUGACUGAGCUUUGGAGAAUCACUGUCUCUUUAUCAGGCCAUAGAAAACAGAUCCAGGAGGGCAAUAAAUACAGCACAUAACAGAGUGGAAUUAAAUGAUUAGGCCUGAAUUAACACCCUGUUUCUGAGCCUCACUUAGUGUUCCAUGGCCCCAAUGAAACACUGCAAUUCACAAAUGCUCAAGGCCCAUUUAAUUUUUAUUUCAAGCUAGUUCAGAAGAAGGGAUUACCUAUAACUCCCCCCUAUUCCAUUGUGUAACUCUCGAAGUAACAACACUGAUCCUGUCUAGAUAGCUGUUAGGAAAAUAGGCUGUGCUAUAGGAAACACAGAGUCUAUUCAGAAUCCUGCCUCUACAAAAAUCACAUUAAUUCAAAGGGACCAAAUCCCUCUCUGUGAAAGUGACAAGGCUGUCCUUGAUGGGAAAAUAAUGAAUUAUUAGUUAAAUAAACUUGAUUAUUUUCCAUGACAUUAACAACAAACCUAUGCAACUGUCAGCCCAAGAUUUUUACUUUUUGAACUGUGGCUUUAGCAUGCCAAAGAUCCUAAUCAAGUCUUAACUGCAAAAUGGAAUUGAAUCUCACCUUGGAGGGUAAUCUAUGGAGGCCCAUCCCCCAUUACACCAUAUGUCACAGGAUAAGGUGGAUGAGUUUCACUUAAACCCUGUUGGCGGGGAGUUAAUAUUGUUCUAUACGUCUUCAUUUAUACAAUGGCUUUAGAGCAAGAAAUCCAAGGAUGGCAUAAGAGGAAGGCUUCACUGUAGCAGUGAAGUACUUAGAAAUUUUAGACGAAAUAUGCAGCAGAUGAAACUGAGUCAUUAAAACCACUUGUAUACCUGUGACUUGAAGUGAUGUAUGAGAUGGAGAUAUAUUUAGAAGGCAAGGUCCUCAAGAGGUAAGAGAGCUUGCAGUUUUGAGCACUUAGUAGAUGCUGUGUGCUGGUUUUUAUUUUUCCUCAUUUAAUCCUCACACUGUCCUAUAAAGUUGACAUAAUUAUUCCUGUUUACAAGUAAGGAAACUGACCCUCAAAGAGGAGUGUAAUAAUUGCCCAAGUUCACACAGGAAGUGGUAAGGCUGAGAUUCAAAUCCAGAUCUAGCUGAUUCCAAAGCCAGCCCUUUCCGUCAAUACUAUGACUGUCACCUGCUUAGAACUCCUGACUGCUGCCUGGAGCUUUUACUUGGGAUCUUCUAGAAUAACCAAAGAAACAACACACAGAAGAGGAUGAGACUAAUGAAGUAUAGUCUCAAACAGUAGGAAAAAACCCCAAGGGCUUUGGCACUGGAUGAGAUUAACUCUUAUAAAGCCCCAGGAGAUCCAGACAUUCAGUGAAUUAAGGAGCCCUCCUCUGAAAUUAAAUGAACCUGCCUGUCCAAAACUGCUUCCGAGUGUCAGCCAUGGCGUACAUGGGGUCCAGACUCUAUCAUCACCCUGAAAGGGCACCUUGAGCCUUGACUGAAGUAGAGCAGGGAGGAUUCUUCCACAUUUUCAAGAGUAUGAGGUUUGACCACACCCAAGUUUACCCUACCAGUCGGUUCAGCAUAGCGUGUAGCUGUGUAUGGGACAGAAAGGGACACCUAUUAGAUGGAACCUUCUGCCCCAACACUUUUGUACUACAAAAUAACUGUAAUUGUGGCUCAAAUUUAUGCUUAAGUAACUUCAGUGAAACAAUAACACACACAUAACUCUCAGAAAGCAAUCUUACUCAAAAGGCUUGGGCACUGAUACAUUGUGAAGAAAUUACACAAUAUGAAUUUUUUUUAAAAAGGUAAUCACUAGAAAGUUUACAGAUGAUAGAUUCAUGUUAGCAAAAGAGUGUUAAGUAUCUGUUGAAUUACAACUAGACACUUAUGGAAAGUGUCUAAUUUCACUUUCUCUGCACUAUCUUUCUGUAUUACCAGUACCCAAUAAAUUAAAUGCUUUUGACAUUCAAUCAAUAUUACAUGGUAAUAAUCACAUCUUUUCAUUAAAAAGGAUAAAUUCCUUAAAAUUUUAUGUUUUAAGAAAAGGUCUUUGUUUACCAAAAGGGAUAGCAAAAUGAUUUAAGUGAGUUUAAUUUGAAUUAUUAAUUUUUUGUUCCUCGGCCAGCAGUUCUUCAGCAAAGGUCUAGAUUAUGGUGAUUGUUCUUGGUUGUGGUUUUUUAACAGUAAUGACAAGGCCCUUGAUAUCCUCUGGCCUUGACUUAGACACAAUUGCAGGCCUCCUUUUCACCUUUAGUUUUAGUAUUAAGGAAAAUCUAUCUCACUGUCAGGAAUAAAAGCCAGACUAUGUCUUUGAAUUUGAGUCCUUGUCUACUUGACUCCACAGCAAGCCAUAGUUUUAAGCAGCUUUUUUGGGAGAUAGGACCACGUGAAGCAUCUGCCAUGCCCAUUUGCUUAUUUAAGUACUUGUUUUUGUAUUUUGAAAGCAUAACUUCAGUUUAAAAAAUCCACAUAAAAAUGGGGUAAAACUUGGAACAAAAUUAUGGACUACCAGAGGUUUUCACUUACAACUGGCUACAGAAGCAGAGUGCAAUGCAAUCACAAAGAAUUAUUCCUUUAAAAUUGUGAGGUAUCACAUCUGCAUUUUUGAGUGAAUAGCUGACUAUGAUAAAGAGACCAGUUUUACCUUUGUAAAGCUGUAUGUCUCUUCCACGAAGUAGUUCUUUCAUCUAACAUGCGGAUUGCAAUAACUUACAG
This 11256-nucleotide long non-coding RNA is filed under the name Homo sapiens (human). RNAcentral describes it as "HSALNT0043657". Lineage: Eukaryota; Metazoa; Chordata; Mammalia; Primates; Hominidae. The record is from RNAcentral.